GACGAACGCUAGCGGCGUGCUUAACACAUGCAAGUCGAACGGAAAGGCCCUGCUUUUGUGGGGUGCUCGAGUGGCGAACGGGUGAGUAACACGUGAGUAACCUGCCCUUGACUUUGGGAUAACUUCAGGAAACUGGGGCUAAUACCGGAUAGGAGCUCCUGCUGCAUGGUGGGGGUUGGAAAGUUUCGGCGGUUGGGGAUGGACUCGCGGCUUAUCAGCUUGUUGGUGGGGUAGUGGCUUACCAAGGCUUUGACGGGUAGCCGGCCUGAGAGGGUGACCGGCCACAUUGGGACUGAGAUACGGCCCAGACUCCUACGGGAGGCAGCAGUGGGGAAUAUUGCACAAUGGGCGGAAGCCUGAUGCAGCAACGCCGCGUGCGGGAUGACGGCCUUCGGGUUGUAAACCGCUUUCGCCUGUGACGAAGCGUGAGUGACGGUAAUGGGGAAAGAAGCACCGGCGAACUACGU
RNAcentral lists this ribosomal RNA (467 nucleotides) under uncultured bacterium. RNAcentral's name for it is "partial 16S ribosomal RNA". It matches the Rfam family "Bacterial small subunit ribosomal RNA", at positions 28 to 506 of the family's 1533-position model. The record is from RNAcentral.